UACGGGGGGGAGCAAGCGUUGUUCGGAUUUACUGGGCGUAAAGGGCGCGUAGGCGGUCGUGACAAGUCACUUGUGAAAUCUCCGGGCUUAACUCGGAACGGUCAAGUGAUACUGUCGGACUAGAGUACAGAAGGGGCAACUGGAAUUCUCGGUGUAGCGGUGAAAUGCGUAGAUAUCGGGAGGAACACCAGUGGCGAAGGCGACUUUCUGGCCUGUUCUUGACGCUGAGGCGCGAAAGCUAGGGUAGCAAACGGGGAUUAAGAUAC
This 266-nucleotide ribosomal RNA is filed under the name uncultured bacterium. RNAcentral's name for it is "partial 16S ribosomal RNA". It matches the Rfam family "Bacterial small subunit ribosomal RNA", at positions 524 to 785 of the family's 1533-position model. The record is from RNAcentral.